UGGUACACACCACCGGUUCCGAAAUCGAAGCACACCCUCGGCGUCUACACUGAAAUCGCCGUCACGUCCGCUCUCGAUGUUGCGCCGCACCUUUUGGAGAGUUGGGUCUGUAGGUUGCAACCCCCAAUUCUCUCCAACAGGGUUGGUUGAACAACGAGAGUUGACAACAUAGCCGGAACCUCCGGAGCUACAACCUCGAG
RNAcentral lists this long non-coding RNA (200 nucleotides) under Ananas comosus (pineapple). Its description in RNAcentral is "long non-coding RNA (ACOM_LNC024261)". The record is from RNAcentral. Lineage: Eukaryota; Viridiplantae; Streptophyta; Magnoliopsida; Poales; Bromeliaceae.